Molecule: ribosomal RNA, 433 nt
Filed under: uncultured bacterium
Lineage: Bacteria
Description: partial 16S ribosomal RNA
Rfam family: Bacterial small subunit ribosomal RNA
Source: RNAcentral
AACGAACGCUGGCGGCAUGCCUAACACAUGCAAGUCGAACGAGACCUUCGGGUCUAGUGGCGCACGGGUGCGUAACGCGUGUGAACCUGCCCUUAGGUUCGGAAUAACUCCCCGAAAGGGGUGCUAAUACCGGAUAAUGUCUUCGGACCAAAGAUUUAUCGCCUUUGGAUGGGCCCGCGUUGGAUUAGCUAGUUGGUAGGGUAAAAGCCUACCAAGGCGACGAUCCAUAGCUGGUCUGAGAGGAUGAUCAGCCACACUGGGACUGAGACACGGCCCAGACUCCUACGGGAGGCAGCAGUGGGGAAUAUUGGACAAUGGGCGAAAGCCUGAUCCAGCAAUGCCGCGUGAGUGAUGAAGGCCUUAGGGUUGUAAAGCUCUUUUACCCGGGAUGAUAAUGACAGUACCGGGAGAAUAAGCGCCGGCUAACUCCGUG